Molecule: long non-coding RNA, 208 nt
Organism: Sycon ciliatum
Lineage: Eukaryota; Metazoa; Porifera; Calcarea; Leucosolenida; Sycettidae
Exons: 3
Source: RefSeq, a predicted model, not a curated record
AGAUUUGUACCGUAAUCAACUUGUUCACCUACCUGCCGGGCUGUUCAAAGCCACAACCAAAUUACAAAACCUAAAUUUGAGGUAUAAUCAACUGGUUGACCUACCUGGCGGGCUGUUCAAAGCCACAACCGAAUUACAAACCCUAGAUUUGGAAGAUAAUCCAUUUUUUCACCUACCAGUGGGGCUGUUCAAUACAACAACCAAAUUA